RNAcentral lists this unclassified non-coding RNA (233 nucleotides) under fungal sp. RNAcentral describes it as "partial internal transcribed spacer region". The stretch from base 1 to 46 matches the Rfam family "Eukaryotic small subunit ribosomal RNA", at positions 1786 to 1831 of the family's 1831-position model. Lineage: Eukaryota; Fungi. The record is from RNAcentral.
AAGUCGUAACAAGGUAACCGUAGGUGAACCUGCGGAAGGAUCAUUAACACGUAUCCAAACGUUAAACCCCCCCCGUGAACCUUCAUCGUGCUCUAGUCUGUAACUGAGUGGGUAGGCCCAACCACUGACGGACUUUGAGCCGUCAGUUUUUUACUAACCCUGUAAUCAUUGACUGUGACUGAAACAUCUUUAAUCAUUAAAGACAACUGUUAGCAAUGGAUCUCUAGGCUCUC